Molecule: long non-coding RNA, 3163 nt
Filed under: Homo sapiens (human)
Lineage: Eukaryota; Metazoa; Chordata; Mammalia; Primates; Hominidae
Description: HSALNT0247681
Source: RNAcentral
CCGUCCACACUUGUCUGCUGCUGUUCCUCACCUCUCCAGUGAGCGUGGAGUUCCAUGGUCUCAGGUGACAGCCAUCACACCCACUCUGAAUUUCCUGACAGGCAUAAUAGAAUUGAAGACACAGUGGAUAACGACAGAGCCUCGUGUACUGCUAACAGGAUUAAGGAUGUUUUUCUGUGGCUGAACUGAAGCAUCUGUCCUCAGGGCUGGAGGCUGGGUAUCACCACAGCUGACCUCCUCUCCAUGGCUCUUGCUGCUGCUAAUCCUCCAAGAUGAAUCUGAAAGAGAAAACAACUGCUUAGUUGCUACAAAUCAUAGGAAGACUCUGGUGAGAAAAUCUCCAUAAAAGACUUCGGAAAAGAUAUGUGUCUUAAGGCAGAACUUGAGGAAAAGCAGGAGACUUGGCACAGAAGCCGCAGAAGGCUUUUUCCAUGUGUAGGAACUUGCAAGGAUGGCAGGAGGCUACAGAGAGCAGACUUGAAACCCUGUGAAAAGAAGAAAUAAGCAAAGCAAGAGGAUAAGCCCUGGGAGAACAGCGUGCUUCCCAGUGUCUGCCUCGUCCUGCACAGUAAGAGCCAGGUCAACUUCAGGAAAUAAGCAAGGCCUCUAAAAGGAAGCACGACCAGAAAAUACAGCACAACUAGGAGCAUAUGGAAGGGAUCCAAGAAGUGGAGACCAUCAUUCGGUAAUAGAAUCUGCUUUGGAGAUGAGAGAGCCUAGAAGGAUGCCCAAUGCCCAGAGACAUACCAGAGAUGCUUUUAAAGUUCUACAAGCAACAUUUUCAUGUUCAAUGUGGAGGUCAGUAAGAGACCAAAAAUCCCAAAUCCCAGAUUGUACCUCCUACUCUCUGUGAUGGAUUAGAAAGAAAACAGGAUCCUCUUCAUCCUUCAAGACCCAGUCAGUUUUGUCGCCUCUGAGAAGUCUUCUCCUGUGUCUGCUUCCACCCCACCCUGCUUCAGGAAGACUCACGUUGCCUAGAAUUCAACAACCACCCUGGAACUGUGCCUUCUGUUUUUUAUGUUUCAGAUACAUACCCAUACCCCAAUAAUUCUACCAAAUUUAAGCUAUCUUUAUGAAACUAAAUAUGAAGAUUCAAAUUAGAUUUAAAACUCAUUUAGCUAAUCUGUUCCAAAAGCAACUUCUGUCUGUUAAUUGGUCGUUUGGUAAGCAGCUUUAGACUCAUUUUAGUACCUUAACUUAAAAUACCACUCUCGGCACACAAAUACUUGUUUAUUGAUGUCGAAAUUAAGAAAUUGUAUUUCUUUUUUUUAAGACAGAGUCUUGCUCUGUCACCCAGGCUGGAGUGCAGGCACAAUCUAUGCUCACUGCAACCUCAGCCUCCUGGGUUCAAGUGAUUCUCCUGCCUCAGCCUCCCAAGUAGCUGGGAUUACAGGCAUGUGCCACCAUGCCCCGUUAAUUUUUGUAUUUUUAGUAGAGAUGGGGUUUUGCCAUGUUGGCCAGGCUGGUCACGAACUCCUGACCUCAGGUGAUCCACCCACCUCAGUCUCCCAAAGUGCUGGGAUUACAGGGGUGAGCCACCACACCCAGCCAGAAAUUGUAUUUUCUUAUCAUCUGGUUUAAUAUUUUGCUUUUUUAACUGUUACUUCACCAAAAUAAUAAAAAAGCAGUUUUGAACCACAUAGGAAAAUGAAUCUUUUCCUAAUUUUGGCCAGGGUAGACCUGCUGGUAGUACUCAGAAAUCGGUUACUAUUAAAACAGUUUAAUUUUUUCAGUUCUUCAUUAUUCAAAGACUCCAAUUAGCACCUCUUUCAAAUAUGUGAGCAGAGAGCUUCAUAAAAAUUUAAUUAGGCCGGGUACAUUGGCUUAUACUUGUAAUCCCAGCACUUUGGGAGGCCAAGGCAGGAGAACAGCUUGAGCUCAGGAGUUUGAGGCCAACCUGGGCAACACAGAGAGACCUGUCUCUAAAAAAAGAAAAGAAAAAAGACUUAAUAAAAAAGAAUUAAUCCACUGCACACCUAUUAGAAAGGCUAAAAUCCAAAACGCUGACAACACCAAAUGCUGGUGAGGAUGUGGAGCAACAGGAAUUCUCAUCCAUGGCUGGUGGGGAAUACAAAAUGGUACCGCCACUUUAGAAGAGAGUUUGGCAGUUUCUUACAAAUCUAAACAUACUCAGCUGGGUGCAGUGGCUCAUGCCUUUAAUCCCAGCACUUUGGGAGGCCGAGACGGGUGGAUCACCUGAAGUCAGGAGUUCAAGACCAGCCUGGGCAACAUGGUGAAACCCAUUUAAAAUUUUUUAUUCUACUAAAAAUACAAAAAUCAGCUGGCAUGGUGGCACGUGCCUGUAGUCCCAGCUACUUCGGAGGCUGAGGCAGGAGAAUCACUUGAACUCGGGAGGCGGAGGUUGCAGUGAGACGAGAUCAUGCCACUGCACUCCAGCCUGGGCAACAGAGUGAGACUCCAUAUCAAAAACAAACAAAGAAAAAAAAAAACUUAAACAUACCCUCACCAUAAAAUCCAGCAAUUGCACUCCUUGGUGUUUACCCAAAGGAGUUGACAACAUAACCACACAAAAACCUGCAUGCAGACAUUUAUAGCAGCUUUACUCAUAAUUGCCAAAACCUGGAUGCAAACAGCAUGUCCUUAGGUGAAUGGAUAAACUGUGUUACAUCUAGACAAUGGAAUAUUAUUUAUUGCUAAAAAGAAAUGAGCUAUCAAGCCAUGAAAAGAUAUGGAGGAACUUUAAAUGCAUAUUAGUAUGUGAAGGAAGACAAUCUGAACAUCUACAUACGCUAUGGUUCCAACUAUAUGAUAUUCUGGAAAAGGCAAAACUGUGGAGACAGAAAAAGAAUCAGAGGUUGCCAGGGGUUAGCAGGGAGGGAAGGAUGAACAGGUGGGGCACAGAGGAUGUUUAGGACAGUGAAAAUAUUCCCUAUGAGACUGUAAUGGUGGAUACGUGUCAUUAUAUAAUUGUCCAAACCCAUAGAAUGUUUAACACCAAGAGUGAAGCGUAGUGUAAAGUAUCAACUUUGAGUAAUGAUAUCUCGAUAUAGUUUCAUCAAUUGUAGCAAAUGUACCAUUCUAGUAGGGUAUGUUGACAAGUGGGGAGGCUGUGGGUGUGUGGGGUAGCAGUGUAUGGGAAAUCUCUGUACCAUCCUCUCAAUUUUGCUGCGAACCUAAAACUUCUCUAUAAAAUAAAGUCUAU